GAUUCUUCGGAUGAAAGUUUGGUGACUGAGUGGCGGACGGGUGAGUAACGCGUGGGUAACCUGCCCUGUACAGGGGGAUAACAGCUGGAAACGGCUGCUAAUACCGCAUAAGCGCACGAGGAGACAUCUCCUUGUGUGAAAAACUCCGGUGGUACAGGAUGGGCCCGCGUCUGAUUAGCUGGUUGGCAGGGUAACGGCCUACCAAGGCAACGACCAGUAGCCGGUCUGAGAGGAUGAACGGCCACAUUGGAACUGAGACACGGUCCAAACUCCUACGGGAGGCAGCAGUGGGGAAUAUUGCACAAUGGGGGAAACCCUGAUGCAGCAACGCCGCGUGAGUGAAGAAGUAUUUCGGUAUGUAAAGCUCUAUCAGCAGGGAAGAUAAUGACGGUACCUGACUAAGAAGCUCCGGCUAAAUACGUGCCAGCAGCCGCGGUAAUACGUAUGGAGCAAGCGUUAUCCGGAUUUACUGGGUGUAAAGGGUGCGUAGGUGGCAGUGCAAGUCAGAUGUGAAAGGCCGGGGCUCAACCCCGGAGCUGCAUUUGAAACUGCUCGGCUAGAGUACAGGAGAGGCAGGCGGAAUUCCUAGUGUAGCGGUGAAAUGCGUAGAUAUUAGGAGGAACACCAGUGGCGAAGGCGGCCUGCUGGACUGUUACUGACACUGAGGCAC
This 670-nucleotide ribosomal RNA is filed under the name uncultured Lachnospiraceae bacterium. Its description in RNAcentral is "bacterial SSU rRNA". It matches the Rfam family "Bacterial small subunit ribosomal RNA", at positions 68 to 754 of the family's 1533-position model. The record is from RNAcentral. Lineage: Bacteria; Bacillati; Bacillota; Clostridia; Lachnospirales; Lachnospiraceae.